AACAGAAGUACCACAUAACUGGGUUCUUUAAAACAUAUGCUAGUUAUGGCAAUAUAUACUAUUUGGAGGCAGAGCUUGGCUAGUUUAUUCCAAUUUUUGGCUUACUAAAAACUCACAGACAUGGAUUCUACCAGGGAAGCCGAAAGGGCCUUCACUAACCCAUAUGGCCUCUUAGUGCAAACUCAAAAAGAGGCCUCUCCCCUCAAGCAAAGAAGCCUUGUGUCAGGACAUACAGUGGACAAAGGAUUGCAAGCUGGAUCUCAGCUUCAAGUUAUCCUCUUGGCUGGGACCAAAGGCAAAACAUAGAGUGAGGCUCUCUGCUCUUCAGCCACCAUGCAAGACAAUUUCAGCCAUAGAACCUAUGGACACUGCCCUUUGGGCAAAGGACACAGAGGGAGCUGUCAUGCAUAAAGUUAUCAGCACUCAAGAUGAAAAACGGAAGCCCUUCCUCGAGGCAGUCCACCUGCCUGGCAAACAGUUGUUUUUUUAAGUAGGUAAGACCUCCCAGAUCCUGGAGAGAAAUGUGUACCUUGUGGCUAGAAGACCUUUCAGGAGCACAGCUUGGGUGGGCAUUU
Molecule: non-coding RNA, 575 nt
Organism: Sus scrofa (pig)
Lineage: Eukaryota; Metazoa; Chordata; Mammalia; Artiodactyla; Suidae
Source: RefSeq, a predicted model, not a curated record